AUACUGUAUAAUCCCUGCGGGGGAAAGAUUUAUCGCUAUUAGAUGAGCCUACGUUAGAUUAGCUAGUUGGUAAGGUAAUGGCUUACCAAGGCUAUGAUCUAUAGCUGGUCUGAGAGGACGAUCAGCCACACUGGAACUGAGAUACGGUCCAGACUCCUACGGGAGGCAGCAGUGGGGAAUAUUGGACAAUGGGCGAAAGCCUGAUCCAGCUAUGCCGCGUGAGUGAAGAAGGCCUUCGGGUUGUAAAGCUCUUUCAAUAGGGAAGAUAAUGACGGUACCUAUAGAAGAAGUCCCGGCAAACUCCGUGCCAGCAGCCGCGGUAAUACGGAGGGGGCAAGCGUUGUUCGGAAUUAUUGGGCGUAAAGGGCACGUAGGUGGACUAGUAAGUUAAAAGUGAAAUACCAAAGCUUAACUUUGGAGCUGCUUUUAAUACUGCUAGACUAGAGGUCGAAAGAGGAUAGCGGAAUUCCUAGUGUAGAGGUGAAAUUCGUAGAUAUUAGGAGGAACACCAGUGGCGAAGGCGGCUAUCUGGUUCGAUACUGACACUGAGGUGCGAAAGCGUGGGGAGCAAACAGGAUUAGAUACCCUGGUAGUCCACGCUGUAAACGAUGAGUGCUAAAUGUGAGGAUUUUAUCUUUGUAUUGUAGCUAACGCGUUAAGCACUCCGCCUGGGGACUACGGUCGCAAGACUAAAACUCAAAGGAAUUGACGGGGACCCGCACAAGCGGUGGAGCAUGUGGUUUAAUUCGAUGCUACGCGAAAAACCUUACCACUUUUUGACAUGAAGGUCGUAUCCCUCCUAACAGGGGGAGUCAGUUCGGCUGGACCUUACACAGGUGCUGCAUGGUUGUCGUCAGCUCGUGUCGUGAGAUGUUGGGUUAAGUCCCGCAACGAGCGCAACCCUCAUCCUUAGUUACCAACAGGUAAUGCUGGGCACUCUAAGGAAACUGCCAGUGAUAAACUGGAGGAAGGUGGGGAUGAUGUCAAAUCAGCACGGCCCUUAUAAGGUGGGCUACACACGUGCUACAAUGGCAACUACAAUAGGUUGCGAGACCGCAAGGUUUAGCUAAUCCAUAAAAGUUGUCUCAGUUCGGAUUGUUCUCUGCAACUCGAGAGCAUGAAGUCGGAAUCGCUAGUAAUCGUGGAUCAUCACGCCACGGUGAAUACGUUCUCGGGUCUUGUACACACUGCCCGUCACGCCAUGGGAAUAGGCUUAACUCGAAGCUGGUGUGCUAACCGCAAGGAAGCA
Molecule: ribosomal RNA, 1249 nt
Filed under: uncultured Ehrlichia sp.
Lineage: Bacteria; Pseudomonadati; Pseudomonadota; Alphaproteobacteria; Rickettsiales; Anaplasmataceae
Description: bacterial SSU rRNA
Rfam family: Bacterial small subunit ribosomal RNA
Source: RNAcentral